GACGAACGCUGGCGGCGUGCUUAACACAUGCAAGUCGAACGGAAAGGCCCUGCUUUUGUGGGGUGCUCGAGUGGCGAACGGGUGAGUAACACUUGAGUAACCUGCCCUUGACUUUGGGAUAACUUCAUGAAACUGGGGCUAAUACCGGAUAGGAUCUCCUGCUUCAUGGUGGGGGUUGGAUAGUUUCGGUGGUUGGGGAUGGACUCGCGGCUUAUCAGCUUGUUGGUGGGGUAGUGUCUUACCAAGGCUUUGACGGGUAGCCGGCCUGAGAGGGUGACCGGACAAAAUGGGACUGAGAUACGGACCAGACUCGAACGGGAGGCAGGAGUGGGGAAUAUUGCACAAUGGGAGGAAGCAUGAUGCAGCAACGCCGCGUGCGGGAUGACGGGCUUCGGGUUGUAAACCGAUUUCGCCUGUGACGAAGCGUGAGUGAUGGUAAUGGGUAAAGAAGCACCGGCUAACUACGUG
Molecule: ribosomal RNA, 468 nt
Filed under: uncultured bacterium
Lineage: Bacteria
Description: partial 16S ribosomal RNA
Rfam family: Bacterial small subunit ribosomal RNA
Source: RNAcentral